Molecule: long non-coding RNA, 246 nt
Filed under: Physcomitrium patens
Lineage: Eukaryota; Viridiplantae; Streptophyta; Bryopsida; Funariales; Funariaceae
Description: long non-coding RNA (PPAT_LNC008633)
Source: RNAcentral
UUACGUAAAGUCUUGCUUGAGAAUGCACCGAGUACUUGGCUGUGAAAGGUAAAAGAAAAUAACAACAAAAGGUCCUAACAAUCCAAUAGAAUUAUAGAGAAUUUAUAAUUAAAUGUUAACAAUCAUAAUCAAACAUUAAGCAAGCUCAAUUAAAUUUUAUUGAACUUAUAAAAGAAACACAAAGAAAUCCUAAAGAAAUAUAAAAGAAUAUUAAAGAAAACUUAGUCAAACCCUAACAAAAAUCUA